AUGGAGCGCCUGGCAGAAAAUGCAAAUAUUUUUUGCCAGAAAUGCCAUUUCUGGCAAAUCGAGCUUUUCGACAUUUCACUCGUGCGUUCUUGCGUUUUAGGUGGUUUGUGGCCAUAUGAAUGACCUGGAGCAAUCACUGAAGAAGUUCUCAUUUGACGCAUCUUCAAGUUCUGAUGAUUUGGAUUUAUCGUCGCUUGGGGGACAAAAUGUUCCAAAUGGAUGUCUGGGUCAAUAAACCACCAUAACAUGGAG
Dendronephthya gigantea is the source of this 252-nucleotide long non-coding RNA. RefSeq lists it as uncharacterized. The transcript is spliced from 3 exons. The record is from RefSeq and is a predicted model, not a curated record. NCBI's taxonomy places the organism in Eukaryota, Metazoa, Cnidaria, Anthozoa, Malacalcyonacea, Nephtheidae.